CGGGGAUUGGCUCAGUUGGUAGAGCGCCGCGUUUGGGACGCGGAGGUCGCCAGUUCGAAUCUGGCAUCCCCGACUA
Molecule: transfer RNA, 76 nt
Filed under: Candidatus Woesebacteria bacterium RBG_13_36_22
Lineage: Bacteria; Candidatus Woeseibacteriota
Description: tRNA-Pro
Rfam family: tRNA
About the family: Transfer RNA (tRNA) molecules are approximately 80 nucleotides in length. Their secondary structure includes four short double-helical elements and three loops (D, anti-codon, and T loops). Further hydrogen bonds mediate the characteristic L-shaped molecular structure. tRNAs have two regions of fundamental functional importance: the anti-codon, which is responsible for specific mRNA codon recognition, and the 3' end, to which the tRNAs corresponding amino acid is attached (by aminoacyl-tRNA synthetases). tRNAs cope with the degeneracy of the genetic code in two manners: having more than one tRNA (with a specific anti-codon) for a particular amino acid; and 'wobble' base-pairing, i.e. permitting non-standard base-pairing at the 3rd anti-codon position.
Source: RNAcentral